Molecule: ribosomal RNA, 253 nt
Filed under: uncultured bacterium
Lineage: Bacteria
Description: partial 16S ribosomal RNA
Rfam family: Bacterial small subunit ribosomal RNA
Source: RNAcentral
GACGUAGGGCGCAAGCGUUUGUCCGGAUUUAUUGGGCGUAAAGAGCUCGUAGGCGCCUGUCGCGUCGACCGUGAAAACCCGCAGCUCAACUGCGGGCUUGCGGUCGAUACGGGCAGGCUGGAGUUCGGUAGGGGAGACUGGAAUUCCUGGUGUAGCGGUGAAAUGCGCAGAUAUCAGGAGGAACACCAAUGGCGAAGGCAGCUCGCUGGGACGGUGCUGACGCUGAGGCGCGAAAGCGUGGGGAGCAAACAGG